This is an RNA transcript of Gorilla gorilla gorilla (western lowland gorilla), 3018 nucleotides long. It is a transcript of the gene named large ribosomal subunit protein P1-like, with no coding region annotated. The transcript has 3 exons. Lineage: Eukaryota; Metazoa; Chordata; Mammalia; Primates; Hominidae. The record is from RefSeq and is a predicted model, not a curated record.
ACAGCCUGUGGCCAAUCGCAACGCCGGAAGGAGCUGAUAGACACGGAGGUUGCUCUGCUCGGAAGAGACCGAGCCCCAGGGCCGCCGUGUCCUCUGGGCGGUUGUGAGGCUGUGCAGCCUGCGGCUUCUGCCCUCUUUCUUUCCCUGACUGGUUGGGUCCGGCCUCCGAGGCCUGUACCCCGCCUUUUCCGAAUAGGCAUGUGACCAGGGUCUCCCGCGGAGUUUUGCUGAGAAUUUUGGAAAUGAAGCAUGUGGAGCGCCUGUGUCGGGUGAAAGAGGCCGAGCUGAAGGAGCACGGGCGCCGGCCUCGGCCUCUGGGGAGCCGUGCCCGCUUGCCUCCCUGCGCGGGGCUAGCCCGAGCCUGGAACUCGGGAGGCCCAGGAGCGAAGUGAAAGCCCCUUCUGGUCCCCUAGGGCUCCACUCCCGCAGCAGCCCGGCUCCGUCGGCGUCAGUGGAGCCCCAGGCCCGGGUCCGAGAUGAGCGAGACGCUGCUCUGGCUCGCGGUCGCCCGAGCGCUCCCAAAACCAGGGAACAGGCCCCAGGAGAGAAGCCCCUAGAAGUUUCCUGGAGCAGGGAGUCUCCUGUUUCCUGUUAGCUCUGCAAAGGAAUCUGGACUUUAUUCUGAGGGCCUUGGAGAACCCCUGCAAAGUUUUUUAAAAGGUGGACUAAGAGAUUGGCAUUUCACAACAUGACUCUCCGAAUUGAAACACUAAUAAGAGAAGAUUGGCGAAAUUUAACAUUUACAGAUUAGUAAUUUAACCCAGGUGACUCGCGAUGAGGGACAUGGCUACCCUUCACUUUUGGAGGGAGUUUUAAGUGAUACAGAUCUUUUUGCCAAGCAAUUUUUUUUUUUUUUUUUUUUGAGGCGGAGCCUCGCUCUGUCGCCCUGGCUGGAGUGCAAUGACGUGAUCUCGGCUCACUGCAACCUCCGCCUCCUGAGUUCAAGCGAUUCUCCUGCCUCAGCCUCCCUAGUAGCUGGGAUUACAGGCGCGCGCCAUCAGGCCCGGCUAAUUUUUUUGUAUUUUUAGUAGAGACGGGGUUUCACCAUGUUGGCCAGGCUGGUCUCGAACUCCUGACCUCAGGUGAUCCGCCUGCCUCGACCUCGCAAAGUGCUGAGAUUAACAGGCGUGAGCCACCGCGCCCAGCAGCAAUUUAAAAAUCUAAUAAAAUUGUGUAUAUCCCCCAAAACAAUAAUGUCACUUGGUUGAUAACCACAUUUGUUUACAAAGGGAUGUGCCAAGACUUUCACUGCAGCUUUGUCAGCAUUGCUAGAAGAUUUAAAACCCGAACACUUAAUGUUCAUCAAUUGAUAAGCUGUUUAACAGUGAUAUACACGUAAUAUAGAAUAUUAUGCAGCAUGCCGAGCGCGGUAGCUCACGCAUGUAAUCCCAGCAUUUUGGGAGGCCGAGGUGGGUGGAUCACCUGAGGUCAGGAGUUUGCGCGACCAGCCUGAGCAACAUGCGAAACCCCGUCUCUACAAAACAAAUUCAAAAACUAGCCGGGCGUGGUGGCACACGCCUGUAAUCCCAGCACUUUGGGAGGCUGAGGUGGGAAAAUCACUUGAGCUCAGAAGGCAGAGGUUGCGGCAAGUGGAGAUCUGCACUCCAGCUUGGGCACCGAAUUGCCACCAAGGUGCUUGGUCCUUCCGACGAAGCUAAGGCCACAUUGGGGUGAGGCCGUCACUUCAUCCAGCGACUAGCACCACCUCUGGCAAUGUCAGCCCCACACUCGCCCGCGCCAUGGCCUCCAUCUCCGAGCUUGCCUGCGUCUACUUGGCCCUCAUUCUGCACGAUGAUGAGGUGAUCAUCAUGGAGGUUAAUAUCAAUACCCUCAUUAAAGCAGCCAGUGUAAAUGUUGAACCUUUUGGCCUGGCUUGUUUGCAAAGGCCCUGGCCAACGUCAACAUUGGAAGCCUCAUCUGCAAUGUAAGGGCUGGUGGACCUGCUCUAGCAGCUGGUGCUGCACCAGCAGGAGGUCCUGCCCCCUCCAUUGCUGCUGCUUCCGCUGAGGAGAAGAAAAUGGAAGCAAAGAAAGAAGAAUCUGAGGAGUCUGAUGAUGACAUGGGCUUUGGUCUUUUUGACUGAACCUGUUUUAUAAUGUGUUCAAUAAAAAGCUGACUUUACUGCUGUUGGUCUUGCCCAUAGUUUGGGAAUGUGCUCUGCAAAAAUGGUCUCAGUUUUGUAAUGUUGGCUUUUAACCUAUUCUGCCAUGACACAGGCUGGUUUUGCCUGCCGCCGUUGCCUGAUGUGAGAUCUUGGACAAUCCUGAUGCCAACAAGAAGGCACCUCAUGGUACAGUGUUGAAAGCUGAAGUGGGGUGGCAGGAGGAAGGAUCAGAGCAGAUCCUUUGUCCAAGUUACGUAUAAACUUGAUAAUUAUCAAGUAUUAUAAACUUAAUAGAGUCACCAUGCCCAAUUUUUAAUUGUGGUAAAACAUACAGAACAUAAAAUUCCUCUUUCUAACCAUUUUUAAGUGUAUAAUUCAGUGGCAUUAAGUAUAUUCACAAUGUUGUACAAGCAUACUCAGAGUUCUUAACUGUUGUCAACUAAUCAAAAAAUAUUUUGAAUACUUUAGGAACUGAAGUUAUCAAGUUUAUAAUACUUGAUAUAAAUAUCAAGUUUAUAAUAAGUGAUAAACUACACUCUUUAUACUGAUAGACUACACUGGAGGUGGAGGGUAAUACAGACUUCAGCUUUAGAAAGCCUCCUGGGUAAUUACCCUAUACAACCCUGCCUAAGAAUUUUGACCUAUGCUGAAUGUUGACUGCUACAUCCCAAGGUUGUAAAGCAACAAGACCUAGCUAUGUAGUGUCUCAACAAAUGCUUGGAAGUUUUACAGUAACACUGAAGGAGUACAGAAGCUAAACCAUUAAGGUCCCCAGUUACACAAAGUGGAUAAAACAAGAUUCAAACCUGUGUUCCAAAAACUAAGAGCUUUUUUUGUUUGCCAAUUAAUAAUAGCAUGAAUGGAAAUUUUGACUUUUCAGGCUUGGAUUUAUAUAAUAAACUGUGGGUAUUGUG